CUUCAUGAUCCUGACAUACCUAGGAGGCUUCCCACCUGAAGAGAAUCAUCCUAGAGAGGCAGAAUCUACCAGGGAUCUGUUCCCCUCAUGGCGGAGAUUGGAGUCAAUGGAAACACAGGAAGCUAUGAUGAGCACAGUGACAUGAGCAUGGACGUUUAAUGAACAGAGUCUUCAUCGCCUGGUGGGGCAGGGAGGCGUUUGCACCAGCUUGGCUUAUGCUGCCUGUGGUGUGGCAUUCUAGGCAUUAUCUGGAGACGUUUAACGGCCUUCUGUAUACAUCACUGCUACUUGUGUGACCAUCUGCAAUCCAAGGAACUUAAAUCAUGAAAUCACAGACUCUCAGACCUGGAAGGACUCUG
RNAcentral lists this long non-coding RNA (359 nucleotides) under Equus caballus (horse). Its description in RNAcentral is "lncRNA (ENSECAG00000045793.1)". Lineage: Eukaryota; Metazoa; Chordata; Mammalia; Perissodactyla; Equidae. The record is from RNAcentral.